This 819-nucleotide ribosomal RNA is filed under the name uncultured marine archaeon. RNAcentral describes it as "bacterial SSU rRNA". It matches the Rfam family "Archaeal small subunit ribosomal RNA", at positions 47 to 873 of the family's 1478-position model. The record is from RNAcentral.
AGCCAUGCGAGUCAUUGUAGUAAUACAAGGCAGACGGCUCAGUAACGCGUAGUCAACCUACCCUAUGGACGGGGAUAACCUCGGGAAACUGAGAAUAAUACCCGAUAGAACAUUAUUCCUGGAAUGGUUUAUGUUUCAAAUAAUUUAUUGCCGUAGGAUGGGACUGCGGCCUAUCAGUUUGUUGGUGAGGUAAUGGCCCACCAAGACUAUUACAGGUACGGGCUCUGAGAGGAGUAGCCCGGAGAUGGGUACUGAGACACGGACCCAGGCCCUAUGGGGCGCAGCAGGCGAGAAAACUUUGCAAUGUGCGAAAGCACGACAAGGUUAAUCCGAGUGGUUUCUGCUAAAGGAACCUUUUGUCAGUCCUAGAAACACUGAUGAAUAAGGGGUGGGCAAGUUCUGGUGUCAGCCGCCGCGGUAAAACCAGCACCUCAAGUGGUCAGGAUGAUUAUUGGGCCUAAAGCAUCCGUAGCCUGCUUUGUUAGUUUUCGGUUAAAUCCAUAUGCUCAACGUAUGGGCUGCCGGGAAUACUGCAAAGCUAGGGAGUGGGAGAAGUAGAACGUACUCGGUAGGAAGGGGUAAAAUUCUUUGAUCUAUUGAUGACCACCUGUGGCGAAGGCGGUCUACCAGAACACGUCCGACGGUGAGGGAUGAAAGCUGGGGGAGCAAACCGGAUUAGAUACCCGGGUAGUCCCAGCUGUAAACUAUGCAAACUCGGUGAUGCAUUGGCUUGAUGCCAAUGCAGUGCCGCAGGGAAGCCGUUAGUUUGUCGCCUGGGAAGUACGUACGCAAGUAUGAAACUUAAAGGAAUUGGCGGGG